AUGCCAGCCUGGUCGGCGUCAUGGCGUGCAACUACCAACCCUGACCUACCACUACAUAAGCACGCGCUGCACCGUGUUCACAUUAUGCCUAGUACCAACACCCUAGCCGGUCCAUGUUUUCUUCAAGGUGAUAAUAUGCAUCCAACAACUUCCCUUCCCCGAGGCCCCAACCAAAAACGGCGGUUUCGUCUUCCUCACGCCCAUGCAACAAGAGAUAGGAAGCACCAAAAGCCAGAUGAGAUUGGAGGACAAGGUGCUCAAGGUAGGAGUUUGGAGGAGUCUUGGAACCAGGUGAUGUCUAGGAUCUUCGACGACCUAUCCGACUUCGAUGACGAGGCGGAAGACCGAGUAAACAGUGGCCGCAAGGUCACCGGGGUGAACGCCAAGAAUCACGCUGGUGGUGAUGACGACCACCAGAACCACAACCAUCGCAAUUGCCUUCCAACCCCUGGCACAACAAAGCACGCCUACAAGUCUAACAACCGCCGCCUCCAUGGCAACCGAUGGGAAGAUGGGAAACCUAAAAGCCAUGGGUCUGUUGGCUUAGCCAAGCAAAGUGUAGGUGAAGCUCAUCAUGUGGUACUUGGCUAUCACAACAUGCGAGGCAAAAAGGAAGUCAUGAAUAGUGAAAAGGAAGGCCAUCACCAAAGAACAGAAACCAGUAGAACAAAGAUUAUUGGCUCUGAAUCCGAGGGGUCUAAAUACAAUUGCAACGUUGAUGAAGAUCGUAAAGAUGAAGAAGUGAAACAAAUAAGAAAAAUAGGGCUGCAUGAAGUUCUUCGCAAUGUUUCUGAUGAUAUUUAUGAGAAUGGCCACGCCUUAUAUGGUGAUACUGAGGAUGUCAAUAGACCGCCUACCGAGGGAGAAGGCCAUUGUGCGAAUAUUCUACAACCAAAUGAUGUAACUCGUGGCAAAGAUAUGUGUUAUGAAAGAGAGUCCAAACAUUGUUUAACUGGUCCUCCGCUGAACUUGGUGGUUCCACAUAUACCACCACCUGGUCAACCUGAUCAGUUAAAAGUAAUCAAGGUCUCAAAUGUCGUGGGGAUUAAUCCAAAACCUUUCGAUCCUGAAACGUACAUGGAAGAGGAUGACUUCAUUACCGAUGAAUCUAAGGGCAAGAAAAGUGUGCAUACAGAUGUUGUCCGUUGCAGAAGGGCCAAGAAUGCUGAUGGCACUGAAUCUCUUGAAAGCAAUGCACGUUUUGUCCAGUGGAAAGAUGGAAGCAUGCAACUACUGAUUGGUCACGUGGCUCUUGAUGUAUCUAUAGAAGAGUCAAGUCAGCAUACCCACUUGUUUAGGAAGAAUGGAAAGGGGCUUCUACAGUCACAAGGAAGGCUUUUACAGAAGAUGAGAAUUAUGCCGCCCGAGUCAUCUUCAAGAUCUCAUAGCUCAUUAACAGCUCCUGUUGAUUCUCAGAAUGAGAAAACAAUUAAGGUGCAAACAUGGUAUGAUAAAAAAUAUCCUGAGAGAAUGAAGCAAGAAAGGGAAAGGGAUGAAGCACCUAGCUCGUGGUAUAAUCCUCAUGGAAGGGUGGCACACAGUGGUUUUGAGCAUAACUUGGAGUUUGAAGCACUGGCUCAGAGACGUAUAAUCAAUGCAAAGGUCCAUGAGUAUUCUGACAGUGAAAGUGAGGAAUUAGAGUAUGGAACAGAAUUCAAGGAUAUAGAGAGCUCACCAAGACAUGAAAGGGAAUAUGAACUGGAUGAAAAUAAUGUAUAUGAUAAAGACCUAGAUGUUUCUUCUCUGCCAAAUGAAGAGAUUGAGGGACCAGAGCAUAAGAGGGGACCUAGGAAGGGCAGGGUGAUCGACUUCGGUGAGGAAUUAUAUCCACCAAAGAAACGAUUUCUCAAUCGUUGGAGAAGGCAGUUGUUAUUGACAGCGAUGAUGAGUGAGAAGAACUGCCAGCACCAAACAGAACAGUCAAAGCGCUACUGA
Molecule: ribosomal RNA, 1935 nt
Filed under: Triticum aestivum (bread wheat)
Lineage: Eukaryota; Viridiplantae; Streptophyta; Magnoliopsida; Poales; Poaceae
Description: partial small subunit ribosomal RNA
Source: RNAcentral